RNAcentral lists this ribosomal RNA (254 nucleotides) under uncultured bacterium. Its description in RNAcentral is "partial 16S ribosomal RNA". It matches the Rfam family "Bacterial small subunit ribosomal RNA", at positions 524 to 776 of the family's 1533-position model. The record is from RNAcentral.
UACGAAGGGGGCUAGCGUUACUCGGAUUGACUGGGCGUAAAGGGCGCGUAGGCGGUUUGUACAGUCAGACGUGAAAUUCCUGGGCUCAACCUGGGGGGCUGCGUUUGAUACGUGCAGACUUGAGUUCGGAAGAGGGUCGUGGAAUUCCCAGUGUAGAGGUGAAAUUCGUAGAUAUUGGGAAGAACACCGGUGGCGAAGGCGGCGACCUGGUCCGAUACUGACGCUGAGGCGCGAAAGCGUGAGGAGCAAACAGG